GAUCAUGGCUCAGGAUGAACGCUAGCUACAGGCUUAACACAUGCAAGUCGAGGGGAAACGACAUCGAAAGCUUGCUUUUGAUGGGCGUCGACCGGCGCACGGGUGAGUAACGCGUAUCCAACCUGCCCAUCACUUGGGAGUAACCUUGCGAAAGUAAGACUAAUGCCCAAUGAUAUCCCACGAAGGCAUCCGAAUGGGAUUAAAGAUUUAUCAGUGAUGGAUGGGGAUGCGU
This 232-nucleotide ribosomal RNA is filed under the name uncultured bacterium. Its description in RNAcentral is "partial 16S ribosomal RNA". It matches the Rfam family "Bacterial small subunit ribosomal RNA", at positions 15 to 236 of the family's 1533-position model. The record is from RNAcentral.